Molecule: ribosomal RNA, 617 nt
Filed under: uncultured bacterium
Lineage: Bacteria
Description: bacterial SSU rRNA
Rfam family: Bacterial small subunit ribosomal RNA
Source: RNAcentral
AAGCGAGCGGCGGAUGGGUGAGUAACACGUGGGGAACCUGCCCCUAAGUCUGGGAUACCAUUUGGAAACAGGUGCUAAUACCGGAUAAUAAAGCAGAUCGCAUGAUCAGCUUUUGAAAGGCGGCGUAAGCUGUCGCUAAGGGAUGGCCCCGCGGUGCAUUAGUUAGUUGGUAAGGUAACGGCUUACCAAGGCGACGAUGCAUAGCCGAGUUGAGAGACUGAUCGGCCACAUUGGGACUGAGACACGGCCCAAACUCCUACGGGAGGCAGCAGUAGGGAAUCUUCCACAAUGGACGCAAGUCUGAUGGAGCAACGCCGCGUGAGUGAAGAAGGUUUUCGGAUCGUAAAGCUCUGUUGUUGGUGAAGAAGGAUAGAGGUAGUAACUGGCCUUUAUUUGACGGUAAUCAACCAGAAAGUCACGGCUAACUACGUGCCAGCAGCCGCGGUAAUACGUAGGUGGCAAGCGUUGUCCGGAUUUAUUGGGCGUAAAGCGAGCGCAGGCGGAAAAAUAAGUCUAAUGUGAAAGCCCUCGGCUUAACCGAGGAACUGCAUCGGAAACUGUUUUUCUUGAGUGCAGAAGAGGAGAGUGGAACUCCAUGUGUAGCGGUGGAAUGCGUA